Long non-coding RNA from Doryrhamphus excisus (bluestripe pipefish), 994 nucleotides. RefSeq lists it as uncharacterized. The record is from RefSeq and is a predicted model, not a curated record. Lineage: Eukaryota; Metazoa; Chordata; Actinopteri; Syngnathiformes; Syngnathidae.
GCCAAAAACACGGUGUGUUACACUUUACUGCUAACAGCUAACAGCACACCAUCGAGUUUACAAACAUCUUCUCAGUAAUCGUUCAGGAACAUUUGUGAUGGCUCUUUGAAGUGCUUUGUACACACAGACGCUCAUAAAGACCGAAAUUUACCGAGGCUGAAACGUUUAAGAGAGCGUGCCAGGGUGAUGCAUGACGAAGACCUGCUCUGUCGCCAUGACGACCAGCCACCACCACCACCACCACCACCACCAGCAUCCACCCUUCCAGAGCAGCACACCAGAAAGUUAUGGGUCAACUUGAAGAAAAUGGUCCACCGUUGUCGUUUUCCCGGUUCACGCUUGACCUGCUUCCUGUCGGUGAACUUUCCGGAAGCGGAGCAGGACGGCAACAACAGUGUCCGUGCGAGGGAGGGGUCCCGUCCCUCACGUGUGUGCUGAGGUGGCCCUGACAAGAUGGAUGUUAUGAUGAUCCAAAGCGCUGCCCCGCUGCCUCUGGAGGAGCCAAGACACGCUUGUCUCGCACCCUCAGGUCUACUCGCUUACAUACACACACUCUGUCACCGUGAGAGCCCUCUAGAACCUUCCACCAAUGGCCUGCUGGCUUGUAAACACCCAAUGGCCACUUCAUUAGGCACACCCGCACCAUACCAACAUAAGAGCUGCAUGCCAUCGUUCUGCCUAAUGAUGUUAAUUACUUGUUAGUUUGUUUGGUAAUGUGCAUGAUGCUAAUGAAACUGCUACUAAUGUUUACAACCUUGCUCAAAUAAACCACGCCCCUAGCCACAAAACUGUCCUGUGAUUGGCCGGCAGAUGGACCUCAAUAAAAGUAUACAAAAUAUCAAUUAAUAAAAAAAAUGAAGGCAGAAGUAAGUUAAGAAAUAUAAACACAAUAAAAAUUGGCCAAACCAAAAAAAAAAAUACAAAAGUUAUAAAAAUAAUGGAUUGAGUGUAGAAAUAAAUACAUACAACUUUAAGAUGACUAAAAUAACUUUGU